GGAGAUAUAGUGUAGUGGUUAUCACUCCGGAUUCUGAAUCUACACAUUAAUUCCGGCAACCCCGGUUCGACUCCGGGUAUCUCCU
Molecule: non-coding RNA, 85 nt
Organism: Zopfia rhizophila CBS 207.26
Lineage: Eukaryota; Fungi; Ascomycota; Dothideomycetes; Zopfiaceae
Source: the annotation of a GenBank genome assembly